AAUACCCGGAGCCGAAGCGAAAGCGAGUCCGAAUAGGGCGCCUAUGUCGCUGGGAUUAGACCCGAAACCGGGUGAGCUAUCCAUGAGCAGGUUGAAGGUAGCCGAAAGGCUACUGGAGGACCGAACCAGUGGGUGUCACAAGACCUUUGGAUGACUUGUGGAUAGGAGUGAAAAGCUCAUCGAACCCGGAGAUAGCUGGUUCUCCUCGAAAUGCCUUUAGGGGCAGCCUCGUUCUGCACGACAGGGGGUAGAGCUACGGUCUGGAUGCGGGGGUCUCCUCGACCUACCAACUCCAGACAAACUCCGAAUACCUGUCUUUUGAGAACGGGAGUGAGACGGUGACAGCGAACUGCCAUCGUCACAAGGGAAAUAGCCCAGACCAUUCGCUAAGGUCCCCAAAUUGUAGUUCAGUGGUAAAGGAAGUGUCAGUGCUUCAACAACCAGGAAGUUGGCUUAGAAGCAGCCAUCUUUUAAAGAAAGCGUAACAGCUCACUGGUCGAUGCACCGAUGCGCCGAAAAUUUACGGGGCGAAACUACAUACCGAAGCGGUGGAUGCGUAAUCAUUCCGAUUAUGCGUGGUAGAGGAGCGUUCCCAGCAGCUGCGAAGCCGAGCCGCGAGGCCAGGUGGAGCGCUGGGAAGCGAGAAUGUUGGCAUGAGUAACUACUAGGCAAGCGAAAAACUUGCCCGCCGAAUUCCCAAGGUUUCCCACGAAAUGGUCAUCAGCGUGGGGUUAGUCGAUCCUAAGGCCAGGCCGAAAGGCGUAACCGAUGGACAUCAGGUUAAUAUUCCUGAACUUCAGGCGAAUCGCCCAUUGUCGUAUAUUGAUAGCCUGGACGGCCUCUACUCCCGCAAGGGAGCAUGUCAUCCGGGAAGGAUACGUACGAUGAAGAUGCGGUGUGACGGAGCGGGAAGAUCAGAGCGUCCGCAUUGACUGGACGUGGAAGGCACGAGGCGUUGAUUCCGGGAGGCAAAUCCCUCGGAUGAGCUGAGUGUUUAUCCCAAUUACCCGUCGCAAGACGGCUGCGUCUGUCCCUUUCUACUUCCAAGAAAACCAUCGCACUCGAGAGUCGCAUGAAAUCGUACCGCAAACCAACACCGGUGGGAUGGUCGAGUAGACCAAGGCGAACGGGUCACUUUGCGUUAAGGAACUCGGCAAUAAAGCGUCCGUAACUUCGGGAUAAGGACUGCCAGUCGCAAGACUGGCCGCAGCGAAAGAGCUCAGGCGACUGUUUACCAAAAACACAGGUCCCUGCAAAGCCGUAAGGCAACGUAUAGGGGCUGAUGCCUGCCCAGUGUCAGCAGGUCACGGAAGGGGGUUUACGCCCUCAACCUAAGCCCUGAUGAACGGCGGCCGUAACAAUAACGGUCCUAAGGUAGCGAAAUUCCUUGUCGGGUAAGUUCCGACCCGCACGAAUGGUAUAACGAUCUGAGCACUGUCUCGACGCAAAGCCCGGUGAAAUUUCAUUGACGGUGCAAAUGCCGUCUUGAUCACGGAAGGACGAAAAGACCCUAUGAAGCUUUACUAUACGCUGACAUUGCAUUGUUCGUAGCGUGCGCAGGAUAGGUGGGACCCUUUGAUGCUUGGGCUUAGGCUUGGGCGGAGGGGCCGCUA
Molecule: ribosomal RNA, 1613 nt
Filed under: metagenome
Description: bacterial LSU rRNA
Rfam family: Bacterial large subunit ribosomal RNA
Source: RNAcentral